AGAAAAUUCACGUAGAAACUGAAGAGCAGAAAGAGGAACCGAGGGUCUGAAGGCUAGUUUCAACCAAGAGAAAAACACCAGAAUUAAGGUCCUGUUAGAUCCGUGAAAUUCGACCGAGUGGAGUAUUUAGAGCUCUCUUCAAUCCAAUCAGGUAAUCAAGGAGAGUAGCCGUUAUCGUUUAGUUCGUGAGGGUGUCAUUGCUCUGAUACGUAGCACUCGGGGAUAAUGAACGCUUGAAUGAUUUCUUUUGUUGUUUCAGUUGUUUUAUUUUAAAAGAAUUGUGUUGAUUAUGUUGUUUAUUUUGAAAGAUGCUACGAUGGUUUGAGUUUUCGUUAAUGUUGGAAUUAUGUUGAAUAAUCCGCUGCGUGGUUUU
Molecule: long non-coding RNA, 373 nt
Organism: Vicia villosa (hairy vetch)
Lineage: Eukaryota; Viridiplantae; Streptophyta; Magnoliopsida; Fabales; Fabaceae
Exons: 3
Source: RefSeq, a predicted model, not a curated record